GGUGGCUCAGUGGUAGAGCGCUUGCCUUGCAAGCAUGAGGUCCUGGGUUCGAUUCCUCAGCACCA
RNAcentral lists this transfer RNA (65 nucleotides) under Dipodomys ordii (Ord's kangaroo rat). It matches the Rfam family "tRNA". From Rfam's summary of the family: Transfer RNA (tRNA) molecules are approximately 80 nucleotides in length. Their secondary structure includes four short double-helical elements and three loops (D, anti-codon, and T loops). Further hydrogen bonds mediate the characteristic L-shaped molecular structure. tRNAs have two regions of fundamental functional importance: the anti-codon, which is responsible for specific mRNA codon recognition, and the 3' end, to which the tRNAs corresponding amino acid is attached (by aminoacyl-tRNA synthetases). tRNAs cope with the degeneracy of the genetic code in two manners: having more than one tRNA (with a specific anti-codon) for a particular amino acid; and 'wobble' base-pairing, i.e. permitting non-standard base-pairing at the 3rd anti-codon position. Lineage: Eukaryota; Metazoa; Chordata; Mammalia; Rodentia; Heteromyidae. The record is from Rfam by way of RNAcentral.